This 227-nucleotide ribosomal RNA is filed under the name uncultured bacterium. Its description in RNAcentral is "partial 16S ribosomal RNA". It matches the Rfam family "Bacterial small subunit ribosomal RNA", at positions 123 to 334 of the family's 1533-position model. The record is from RNAcentral.
AAUCUACCUUCGAAUUGGGGAUAACGUUACGAAAGUGACGCUAAUACCGGAUAAUAUCAUAGGGACUUUGGUUCUUAUGAUCAAAGAUGGCCUCUCCUUGGAAGCUAUUGUUUGGAGAUGAGCCCGCGUCCCAUUAGCUUGUUGGUAGGGUAAUGGCCUACCAAGGCGACGAUGGGUAGCUGGUCUGAGAGGAUGAUCAGCCACACUGGGACUGACACACGGUCCAG